CCUACGGGAGGCAGCAGUGGGGAAUUUUGGACAAUGGGCGAAAGCCUGAUCCAGCAAUGCCGCGUGAGUGAAGAAGGCCUUCGGGUUGUAAAGCUCUUUUGUCAGGGAAGAAACGGUGAGAGCUAAUAUCUCUUGCUAAUGACGGUACCUGAAGAAUAAGCACCGGCUAACUACGUGCCAGCAGCCGCGGUAAUACGUAGGGUGCAAGCGUUAAUCGGAAUUACUGGGCGUAAAGCGUGCGCAGGCGGUUUUGUAAGUCUGAUGUGAAAUCCCCGGGCUCAACCUGGGAAUUGCAUUGGAGACUGCAAGGCUAGAAUCUGGCAGAGGGGGGUAGAAUUCCACGUGUAGCAGUGAAAUGCGUAGAUAUGUGGAGGAACACCGAUGGCGAAGGCAGCCCCCUGGGUCAAGAUUGACGCUCAUGCACGAAAGCGUGGGGAGCAAACAGGAUUAGAUACCCUGGUAGUCCACGCCCUAAACGAUGUCUACUAGUUGUCGGGUCUUAAUUGACUUGGUAACGCAGCUAACGCGUGAAGUAGACCGCCUGGGGAGUACGGUCGCAAGAUUAAAACGUCAAAGGAAUUGACGG
Molecule: ribosomal RNA, 586 nt
Filed under: uncultured bacterium
Lineage: Bacteria
Description: bacterial SSU rRNA
Rfam family: Bacterial small subunit ribosomal RNA
Source: RNAcentral